Molecule: ribosomal RNA, 501 nt
Filed under: uncultured bacterium
Lineage: Bacteria
Description: partial 16S ribosomal RNA
Rfam family: Bacterial small subunit ribosomal RNA
Source: RNAcentral
AUUGAACGCUGGCGGCAUGCCUUACACAUGCAAGUCGAACGGCAGCACGGGUGCUUGCACCUGGUGGCGAGUGGCGAACGGGUGAGUUAUACAUCGGAACGUACCUUAUCGGGGGGGAUAACGCAGCGAAAGCUGUGCUAAUACCGCAUACGCCCUGAGGGGGAAAGCGGGGGAUCGCAAGACACCGCGCGCUUAGAGCGGCCGAUGCCUGAUUAGAUUGUUGGUGGGGUAAAAGCCCACCAAGGCGACUAUCAGUAGCUGGUCUGAGAGGACGAUCAGCCACACUGGGACUGAGACACGGCCCAGACUCCUACGGGAGGCAGCAGUGGGGAAUUUUGGACAAUGGGGGCAACCCUGAUCCAGCAAUGCCGCGUGAGUGAAGAAGGCCUUCGGGUUGUAAAGCUCUUUUGUCAGGGAAGAAGCACCGGCUCUAACACAGUCCGGGAAUGACGGUACCUGAAGAAUAAGCACCGGCUAACUACGUGCCAGCAGCCGCCGUAA